ACGAACGCUGGCGGCGUGCUUAACACAUGCAAGUCGAACGGAAAGGCCCUGCUUUUGUGGGGUGCUCGAGUGGCGAACGGGUGAGUAACACGUGAGUAACCUGCCCUUGACUUUGGGAUAACUUCAGGAAACUGGGGCUAAUACCGGAUAGGAGCUCCUGCUGCAUGGUGGGGGUGGGAAAGUUUCGGCGGUUGGGGAUGGACUCGCGGCUUAUCAGCUUGUUGGUGGGGUAGUGGCUUACCAAGGCUUUGACGGGUAGCCGGCCUGAGAGGGUGACCGGCCACAUUGGGACUGAGAUACGGCCCAGACUCCUACGGGAGGCAGCAGUGGGGAAUAUUGCACAAUGGGCGGAAGCCUGAUGCAGCAACGCCGCGUGCGGGAUGACGGCCUUCGGGUUGUAAACCGCUUUCGCCUGUGACGAAGCGUGAGUGACGGUAAUGGGUAAAGAAGCACCGGCUAACUACGUG
This 467-nucleotide ribosomal RNA is filed under the name uncultured bacterium. Its description in RNAcentral is "partial 16S ribosomal RNA". It matches the Rfam family "Bacterial small subunit ribosomal RNA", at positions 29 to 507 of the family's 1533-position model. The record is from RNAcentral.